CCUACGGGUGGCAGCAGUGAGGAAUAUUGGUCAAUGGGCGCGAGCCUGAACCAGCCAAGUCGCGUGAGGGAAGACGGUCCUAUGGAUUGUAAACUUCUUUUGUCGGGGAGCAAAAGACGCCACGCGUGCCGUUCCGAGAGUACUCGAUGAAAAAGCAUCGGCUAACUCCGUGCCAGCAGCCGCGGUAAUACGGAGGAUGCGGGCGUUAUCCGGAUUUAUUGGGUUUAAAGGGAGCGCAGGUGGGAGGUUAAGUCAGUGGUAAAAGUUUGAGGCUUAACCGCUAGAUGGCAAUUGAAACUGGCUGUCUUGAGUAAAGGAGAGGUAUGCGGAAUGCGUGGUGUAGCGGUGAAAUGCAUAGAUAUCACGAAGAACUCCGAUUGCGAAGGCAGCAUAC
Molecule: ribosomal RNA, 394 nt
Filed under: uncultured bacterium
Lineage: Bacteria
Description: partial 16S ribosomal RNA
Rfam family: Bacterial small subunit ribosomal RNA
Source: RNAcentral